AAGAAUUUGAGAUUUUUUUAUUGGUUAUGAGAAAAAAAAUUUAUUCUAAGAUACACACCCUUUUUUUCUAUGCAUCUAUCCAUGCAGGCAGUAUUUAUUGGGCACCACCUCUGUACCAGGCAUGGUCCCUUGCGCUGGGGAGACAAUGUUGAACAAGACAGACCAGUCCCUAUCCCUCAUGGUGCUUACAGACAUGUGGAAGACAUGCACAGGAUGUGGGAAAAUCCUGGAUGCCGUGGAAACCAAUCAGAGGGACACUUACCCCGUUUAGGGAUGCAGUGAAUGGGGGCAUACCCCUGAAGAAGUGACAUGUGUUCUAAGAUCUGAAGGUUGAGCAGGAACUAGGCAAGUAAGGAGAGGGAUGAUAAUGUACUAGGCUAAGGGACCCAUAUGUGCAAGUGCUUGGAGGCAAAAGUGCUUGUCCCCUCAUCCCUUCUAAGGAGCUGAAAAUAAUUCCAAAAAGCCAGAGCAGAGAGAUAUGAAUGAGGUAUGACCUUCAGAUUCUCUUCAACAAAUUAUUAGAACAAGAAAAAAAUUGUUCUAUUAGUAUAGUAGGUAUAUUAGGAAGCAAAUAUUAGUAUACCUGGUGCCUACCUAGUGCUUGGGACUAACAGAUAUUCAAUGAAUAAAUGUUUUCCAGCUUAUCAGCUGACUGAGUGGCUACUCAAUACUAUGUAAGGAGCUUCAGAUUUUGAUUUCUGCCUUCCAAUAUCUUUUGGUUUUAUUUGGGAGCAGGUGGAAAUUGAAAAACAACAAAAGGGUUUUAAAAAUCAAAAAAGAACUCAACAGAAGAGCAGGCAAAGGUUUAAAGGCCUUGAGUGAAUGGGGGGAAAACCAUGUGGUGGGUGGAGGAGACCCUUAGGAGGUUUGCUGGGGUACACAGGGCUGUAGCUGGAACCUGAAAGUUUCCACCUGGGGAGACUAAGUCAGAGAACUUGGACAGAGCCCCUCCGUUAAGCUAUGGUGGCAAAACUGGGUAGUUAUUUGUUGAAGCAGCCUUUGCUAUCUGAGCCUGAGCAGCAACAGGCAGGCUUCUGCUGCUAGAAACUGUAGCAUAGAACCAUAAUAUUUUCCACUAAAAAUCUGGGGCACAUUAUCUGGCAGAGGUACAAAAACUUGCAAAUUAGAACUCUCCCAGGAACUGCAGAAUAUAUGAUCGUUAUAGACAUGGAUUUUCAAAUUGGUGUGAUGGCCAGUUUUAAUAGGGCCUUAUGGCUAGGAACAUAUGCUUCAAAGCCAGUUAGACCUUGUUUGAAAUGAUGGUACCAGCAGUGUGACCUCCUGCAAGUUUCUUUACUUCUCUCAGCCUUAGCUACUUUAUCUGAAAAUGGGGAUAAUAAUACCUUCUUAGGGGUUAUUUGGCUGUUUCCAUGAAAAAAAAUAUAUAGUAAGUACUCAAGACCAUGUCUAUGCUAAAUAAUAAUAUUAUUAUUAAGAUACUAGUGAUUAAGCCUAAUUUAUGGGGGUAAUCAGACUCUUUUGGGAGUACAUAACCCCCUGAAUUCUUUGACUUUCCAAGUACCCAUCAUUCCCAGGUCUGUAAAUGUGUUUUUGUUCUCAGUUUAGCCUUUUAUCAGGAUUCCCAAACUCACUGAUUAGGCUGGCUUGUAGGCGCCAACCUGAAAAAGAAUUUGACUUUCUCAGUAUUGGGAAAAUAUUUGUAAAAUAGUACAGUCAACAAAUAAAUAUACUGUAGACUUUGAGUCGCUUUAAAAAAAAUUGCCCAGGAGGUUAAAAAAAAAAAUUCUGGACUCAAAAUGUUAACUGGGUUUGGUUUAGUAUUUGGACAAAGAAAUCCCUGCUCUGAACUGAGCAGAGAGAUAAGCGCCUUGACUUGCAAUAGAUUAAGAGACUUGCAUUGGUGAGAACAAACCACGUCUGAGGCUCUCCCUGAGUGCCGCCACAUUUAGAUUUAAGAUUAACUGCAGCCGAAUGGUGGAGCGGCUGUUUGUUUUAUGAAACAAUCGCUAAUGACAUUAAACAGACGGAGGCCCUUCCAACAUGAUUGUUCAUUUGCGAUAAACUGAGAGAAGCCCACAAGAGACUGAAAAAGAAAACUCAUAAGUGCUUCAUUUUGAGGCUCUUACAAUAUUCUAUUGGAGGUGACAAUUAAUGGAAGUGAAUGGGAAUCUAAUUCAGAGCACAUUUAGAUCACGGGAGGAGGAGGUAUGGCAGGAAAGAAUCAACAUGAAUUUGCUUGCUUUUAUAUUUAUAUUAAGGAAUCAAGUCAUCAUAAUUUCAUGACAAGUUUUCCAAGGAGGAUUUUCUUUCUUUCUUCCUCUUCUUUUUUAAUGCUGUUUAUUUGUUCAUUUCUCUUAUUUCUGCAGCUCCUGGGCUCCUAAAUCUGGCACUAAGCAUUAACUGUAUUAAAGAGUACUAUCUAUUAGUUCAAUUAGACAUUAGACAUUUACUUUUCAAUGUAUUUGAAGCCUGAUUUGAUUUGGGUUCAGUCAUUUAAAAUUAAGAGAGCAGAACUGUGUACAGAACUGUGUACAGAUAUCUGUGGCUCUGAAGUCUUAAUUGCAAAUUCAGAUAAGGAUUAGACAGGACUAUAUCUCUCUAGACCAUAGGUAUUUGCUAAUACCUGAGAUAGAAAGGUUGUUAGAUUGUAAAUUUACUACUUCAAGCUUUUUGCCUUUGGAUUUUUGUUGAACUUUAAUGUUUUGGUUGAAAACAACACAGUUUGCACCAGCAUUAAGAGUGUGGAUGUGGGUAAAAUCUCAAACAAGCCUCACUUACAUUUUCAUUAUUUUGGUCUAGCUAAAAACUGAAAUAGUGUUUAUUUUUGCCAAAAAAAAAUUGUCAAAGGCCAUGUUGCAGCAUUAAGCUUUUGUUUUAUACACAAAGAAAUAUAUUAAUGAAAAGUGUUUUAAGUGCUUAUUAUAGAGAUGGUUUGUUUUGAAACAUGGGCUUUUUCACAGCAGUUUUACACUUCAUUGUGUACCAUGAAAGACAUUCUAAGUAGAGGUUGUCAGUCUCCCAUCAGAAGUAGAGUACUGCUGGGGAAUGAGCCAUUUAGGAUGUCACUCAAGCAGGACUAAUCUAGAGUAGAUAUCUUAUAAAUAACCAGUAACGAAAAAACAAAUCAUUCCUCUCCCCACCAGAGCAGAGAGAAUUACUGCUUAGGAGAAGGAAAUCUUUAUAAUAAAGAUUUACAGUCUGAAUUAGUGAAUUGUUUAGAGCAAAGCAUUGCAUAAAGUUGCAAUGACAACCUGAGAUAGGAGUUCUGGGAGCUGUGGAAAUGCCUUUAUGAGGAGAGGGAAUGAGUUUAGAAGGACUUGUAUACUGGCAUCUCCCACCUUGGUCUUGGGGAGAUGGGUGUGCGUACCCUAGACAUCUCAGUUAUGAGAUAUGGGCCUAUUUGUGAUAAUGUUUUUCAGUCUCUACUCUAGGACAUGCUGUUCCUGUUGGAUCCCAAAGAUAUUCCCAAACCCAAUGAGGACCAUUCUUUGCAUAGAGAAUUGUUGUACACAUUUAAAGUGUACAACUUUUCUAUUACAUGAUAGAAUAUAAUGAGAGUACUAAGAGUAUUUUCAGCUUUCUGUUAUUUCAGUGUCAACAUUUCGCUCUUUAAUUUCUUGAAGUAAAUACUGGCCUCUUUAGAUAUUUGCAAGUUCUGUAGCUUUGGAAAUCUUAUUCAUAGCUCCCCUUCCCUGCCUCGUUCUCUUUUAAAGUAGCUAGAAUGAGCUAUCUCUCAAUUCCUAGUGGGGAAAAGGCUUUAUUGAGACCCAUUGUGAGAACUAUAUCUGUCAAAGAGAGAAAAAACCUGAUUUUCUUGAUUCUGAUAAGUACAAAUUCCUCUCGUUGAAGCUCCUGUUGUGUCCAAGUUGUGGCGAUAUGCAGAGAAAAAUGAGUAGGAAUGCCUGGCUGGUUAAAAUAAUCUUCUCGAUCCCCCACCCCAAAUCAUUCUCUUAUUCCAGGACCAAGAAAUGGCACAUUUCCCAAACUCUUUGAACUUGUCCACCAUAACAUGUCAUUCUGAUAUCCUAGAAUACAAAAAGAAGAGAAAAAACCCUAAUAUUUAUAUAUUGCUUUUUUUCAGUAGUUUGGUUUUGAUGAGAUUGGGAAGAGAAUGGAUUUUAUUGAAUGCCAGGGCUUUCCAUUUUAUUGCAUCUAUUUCCACACAUGCCUGUGAAUUAGAUAGAGCAGAUGCUAUCUACAUUUUUCAGAUGAGAAAAUUAAAGUACACAGGCUUCCUUAAGAUCUGGCAGCAAGAAGCUAGAUUUAUCUGGGGUACAACAGCAUUUUGGGAAUGCACACUACUUGGGUCCAAACUAUUUCAGGUUUCUGGGGGAAAGUUAGUUUUUUUAGAUUCCCUGUAAUGUGCAGGGGGGCCAGGGUCAGGCAACAUCUCUGGAUUGCUACUAAUAGGGACCCCUCAUCCAGGAGGAAAGUAUUCACUAUUUAACUACAAUCAUUAGCAAAUACAAAUAGCCCCUGGAAUAGAAGAAGUUGAAAACUUUGAAACAGUAUAUAUUGCAAAGUAAAUCCUUAGCAUAAAAAUGCAUACUGUUUCUUGUUGUUUCUGCCACUGAUGGUCUACACUAAAGGAAGAAGAUUCAGUUCUAUAAACAUCUACUGAUUGCUCUGAUUCAGCUACUUGAGACUCCACAGAAUUUGGAGAUUGGGUUUUGGGGACUGACAGCAAGGAUUGAGUUAAAAAGGUCAUUCUUUCCUUAUAUGUGGGGACCAUGUGAGGUAAAUAUAAGAAAAUAGGAGUAAAAAGGAAUUUUAUUUUCACCAACCACAGUAUAAUAUGCUAUUGAAUAUAACAAAGCUAUUUUCUAUAUAGUAUGUAGUUUGUAUAUAAUUGAUAAUUCGGGAUAUGAUAUAGUCACUUUGAUAAUUUAGCCAUUUAUUUAACCAAAUGCUCCUUUUUACAAUAUACAGUAGCUGAGUUUGGGGGGCUCUAAGAUCUAGAGUCCUGGUCUAGGUGGAAUGAAGGCAAAUCAUGACUUGAAAUUCACAAAUUAAUUUUUGCUUUAAAGGCAAAUCAUGUAAUUUGCUACCACUCUGGGAGGAAUGACAUUUAAUAUAAAACCAUAAUUCAGGAAAUUACAGAACAUCAAAAAUUCACCAGUUUGCUGCUUUGAAAAAAAGUAAAGUCAGUUUUUAUUUAAAAUAUCUUAUUCAAAGAAAACAGUAGAUGUGAUAAAAUCAUGAAUUGCUUUGGAACCUAUAAAAUAUCCGCUAUGCAGCCCCUUUCUCUUUAUUGUUCUUUGUAAAUGUGUUCAUGGAAUACCCAAAAUAUAUAAACAUGAAAGCCAUACUCUCCUUCUUCCAUAGUCUAUCAUCAUCUGCCUCUUUUAAGAAGGCCUAGUUACAUGUAGCAAAUUUGAUGUCCCUGUCAUCAUCUUGAAAUAUUUGUUGAAUGAAUGGAUGGAUGCAUUCCCCAUCUGUGUAGUCAGUUCUCAAUUAUCCAUUAUAAUGGAGUUGAAAUAGAAAAGGAACGUUUGAGAGUGAAAUCCACAAAUCAUUGAGAAAGUUCAUGUGAUUCAUUACUUUCAAAGUUUCCCACCAAAUCUUUUACGCAACACGCAACUAGAUUAAAAUGUGGCAAAAAAAAAAAAAAAAAAAGUUCUUUCUCUUUUGCCUGGUUGUACUGACUUAGAUACUAAGGAAUAAAAUCUGAAAUUAGUGACUGAAAUAAAUAUAUAAAUAGAGCCCGGCGGCUGAAUGAUUAUCUGUGAAUCAUCACAGCAGUAGCUUAGGCCAAACUCAUUGUUUCUUAUAUAGAGUUCCUAGGCAGAUAUUUUUUAACAGUUGCUGGUAAAUCUGAACUAAGGGUACAGAAGGAAAGAUGCUCCCAAAAGGAUGUUGAAUGAUAAAAGUUGACUGUCACCUUUGCAGUGUGAUAGAGAGGGGAAAACACAAUUUAAAUGUUUUAGGAAAUACUGAAAAAGAUACGGGACUCUAGAGUGAAAGUUCGAGAUACUUCUGUUCUUUUGUAAAAGUUAAUCCUGAGACAGCACUAUAUCAUGUGAGUAUGUGUGUAAGUGUUCUGGAGGGAAGGCCUGGGAUUCCCCAGGGUUUAGACCCCUUGGUGAAAUGUAUAGGCUGGGUCAAGGUCACAUUCAUUUUGGGUCUUAUAUUUCAGAAUAUUUGGAAGGAAGAAGGUUUCGGGUUUUUGUUUUUCCUCCAUCUCUUUUAAAAUGUCUAGCUGCUUCCCAUUAAGUUACUUUUGAAAGCUCUUAUGUUUUGGGAAGAAAAAAAUGGCAGUAAAAUCAGCAUGGUUUCUGACAAAAGGCCUGAGAGCAGCAAUGGUAGGAUAACCAAAUGCCACACAGAGUUGAUAACACUGAGUGGAGUCACAGCUGAGCAGAACAAGCCCAGGAAGUCCAACUUUAUGUUGCAUGAAAGAUCACUGGUGACUGAUUUUAUUCCUGCUCUGAAGAAAAUGUAGACAAUGCAUGCACACCCGGUCCUUCUUACGACUCCCCACCUCCUCCCUCCUGUUAUAUCUGAAGCCAGGGUUUCUGACACUCUGAUACAAAGUCAUAAUACAUAAUCCUUAAUACUUCCAAAGGGUCCUGGCUUUUCAGCUAAGAAAUUAGGUAUGCUUUAAGUUUAUUUGGACUAUACCUAUACACUUUGUUAAAGGGCUAUACCACAGGAAUGUAAGAAUAUAUACACUUUUAUGUAUUUGCACAACUAUUAUAAAAUAUGUGGAAAGCCCAAAUGCACCUCUGAUAUUAACUUUUUUAAAAUCAGAACAUAGACUUAAGAUAAAAGGAAACUAUAAGCAAUAGCAGUAUUAGUUUGUUGAACUCCUUUCCUGACAUUUUCUUUCACUGUUUUUUAAAAGGAGGGUGGCAGUAAUCAUUAAUAUGGACUUUAAAAAUACCCUUUGAUGGUUUUCUCUUGCCAUGUCUCAUAAAUUCCAACCUUCUUUGAUAAGAAAAGUGUCUGACAUUACAGACCAGGCAAAACUCUCUGAACAUUAAUUGAAAGCAUCCAAUUGAAUUGUCAUAUCUUUGCAAAGAAGUAAUCAUAAGCACUAGUGUGUAGUUUGAAACUUUCGAUACAGGAAUACAAGAAACAUGUUUAUGUAUGCGUAGGAAGUUCUAAUGACAGGUACUACUCUGUGUGUGUGUGUGUGUGUGUGUGUGUGUGUGUGUGUGUGUGUGUGCAUGUCUGUGUGCACAUAUUCAAGUGUGUGGUACUAGACUCAGAUGGGAUGGAGUUGAUUAAAACAUCGAAUGAGUUACCCUAUGAAUGUUGUACAGUUGAUGUUUACUUCCCAAGGCAAGAAUAUGGGCUUGCAUUUCUCCUGUGUGUAAAUAUUUUGUUUAGCGCCUAGUGCAGUGCUAACAACAAUGUAAUAAAUGCUUGCCAAAUAUAGUAUAAAUAAAUAAAUUGAUUUAGCACCCA
Homo sapiens (human) is the source of this 7371-nucleotide long non-coding RNA. RefSeq lists it as uncharacterized. The transcript is spliced from 2 exons. Lineage: Eukaryota; Metazoa; Chordata; Mammalia; Primates; Hominidae. The record is from RefSeq and is a predicted model, not a curated record.